RNAcentral lists this microRNA precursor (435 nucleotides) under Oryza sativa (Asian cultivated rice). RNAcentral's name for it is "miR5078 stem-loop (osa-MIR5078)". The record is from miRBase by way of RNAcentral. Lineage: Eukaryota; Viridiplantae; Streptophyta; Magnoliopsida; Poales; Poaceae.
GGCUACAAUAAAAUGCCACGGCUAAAUAGGGGGUGUUCGCUAGAAUGUCAUCGUGGACGGUAUUUCCCUUGGAUCUUCUUCUUCCUCCAACACCUGCCAAUUCCCUCCAUGUCAUGUCGUCGUCCCAUGGCAGAGCGCUCCAACCUGGCGCAUCCGAUGAAGUAGCCGUCGCUGCAUAUGCAUUGGUUACAGCAGCACCAGCACUACAGGAUGCCAUCGCCGCCGAGCACGAAUGUGAAGCAGAGCUCCUUGUCUUGGCAGUCAGGCACUGGUGGUGGGCAUCAUGAGCUGCUGCUGGAGCCAACGAUGGCAUGACAUGGAGGGGAAUGACCAGCACCCAACGUCGAGGGAGGAAGAGAAGAUCCAAGGGCAAUAUUGUCCAUGAUGGCAUUCUAGCGAACACCCCUCGUUCGACCGUGGCAUUUUAUAGAAGCC